CUCAAUUAAACAGGUGCAUGUGAAACUUGCAAUCAAGUAUCCAGGAAGUGUUAAUAGACUAGUGGUAAAUGAAAGCCUACAAAAUUUGUACAGUUAUGCAUGCCAUCGGUAAUGACAUCAUACAAAUACGUUUUUGACUGAAAAUUUACUGCUAGACAAACCCACGGUGCACAAUCAGGAAAUAGUUUGUCACUUCAAGUUAAUGGUGGCUUUUUCAUCUGAAUGCUUUGGCCUCUAGAAUCACUCUUCGCGUAUCCAUAAUCACCAGUCACUUUCAUUAAAAGGGGUGAUUUUCUAUCUAAUUCUGCUAUGCACCUUUUUAAGUAAAAUGAUAUUAGGUGAUCUUUUGUUUUGGUUAUAUCGAUCCAAUUUAUCAUCAAUAUUAAAUCCACAUGCCUCUAAAAUAGAGGCAAACUUUUCUAUGUACAAAGUGAUCGAUAGUGUUCUUUUCCUAUAAGUAUAUUUAUCCUCUUAAGAUGACAUACAGUCUAUAUCUGAGCUGAGGCUGCUAGGAUUUUCUUGUAUGUUUUGUAUGGUUUUCAUUGUUCAAUUGACUUUUCUUCUUUUUCAGGUCUGCAUGUCGUGGUUAUUAUGUUCACAGGUUACUUGGUAGGAUUUGCUAUGUUCAAAGCUCUGUUCAACAAUAAUGCUGUACUGAACGCUGCUGGAGGUAUCUUAGGAUUAGUUGGUGGCAUGCUGGUUGAGACCAUUCUCUUCAUCAUCAGAUCAUCGAGUAAAGAGUUAGCCUCUGUUCCAAGAUCAAAGAAAGCUCAGUAGACUCUUGAAAUGCUAUCAUCAGUUAGUGGUGAGAGCUAUAAGUGGCCUUAGCUUGUGGAAGUCUAUGGAGCAUUGGUAUGGGUUUGAAAAUGCAAUUCAUCGAAUAUAUGCAAUUGACAUCCGAUUUGAAUUUGCAUCAUGAAGGAAUAGGGCAGAGGGAUUUGAUUUCAAUAUUAUUAGCUACCCAGAAUUUUGUAUCUCGCCCAAUGAUUGGCUCGAUGAUAAUUGAAGAACAUGUACCUACGGAUAUGUAAAAAGUACAUACAAGAAGAUGGUAUGCUUAACAGCUUAAGUACCAUUGGAGAGUAUAUUGGCUUGAAAUUUUGCAGUUAAAACUUAAAAGUAAGUUGUUAUGUUUGCACGUGAGGUUUUGUUUGUGAAUAAGCAUAUUUUAUCCUAAGAUUUUUCUCAGAUUUCUUUUUUAUCAUAGCAUUUUGAGUAAAUCGAAAUGAAUUUUUUGUUGGUAUAUGCACGAUUGU
This 1256-nucleotide long non-coding RNA is filed under the name Zea mays. RNAcentral describes it as "drought-responsive long non-coding RNA". Lineage: Eukaryota; Viridiplantae; Streptophyta; Magnoliopsida; Poales; Poaceae. The record is from RNAcentral.